AAUAUUGGAUAAUGGGCGAUGGCCUGAUUCAGCCAUGCCGCGUGUGUGAAGAAGGUCUUCGUAUUGUAAAGACUUUUAAGUCGGGUGGAAGGGUUGUAGGUUAAUACUCUGCAAUUUUAACGUUUCCUACUGAACAAGCACCGGCUAACAUCAUGCCAGCCGCUGCGGUAAGACGAAGGGUGCAAGCGUUAAUUGGAAUUACUGGGCGUAAAGCGCGCGUAGGUGGUUCGUUAAGUUGGAAGUGAAAGCCCCGGGCUUAACCUGGGAAUUGCUUUCAAAACUGACGAGGUAGAGUACGGUAGAGGGUAGUGGAAUUUCCUGUGUAGCGGUGAAAUGCGUAGAUAUAGGAAGAAACAUCAGUGGCGAAGGCGACUACCUGGACUGAUACUGACACUGAGGUGCGAAAGCGUGGGGAGCAAACAG
Molecule: ribosomal RNA, 423 nt
Filed under: uncultured bacterium
Lineage: Bacteria
Description: partial 16S ribosomal RNA
Rfam family: Bacterial small subunit ribosomal RNA
Source: RNAcentral